Molecule: ribosomal RNA, 1512 nt
Filed under: Streptococcus pneumoniae
Lineage: Bacteria; Bacillati; Bacillota; Bacilli; Lactobacillales; Streptococcaceae
Description: bacterial SSU rRNA
Rfam family: Bacterial small subunit ribosomal RNA (bases 2-881)
Source: RNAcentral
AGAGUUUGAUCCUGGCUCAGGACGAACGCUGGCGGCGUGCCUAAUACAUGCAAGUAGAACGCUGAAGGAGGAGCUUGCUUCUCUGGAUGAGUUGCGAACGGGUGAGUAACGCGUAGGUAACCUGCCUGGUAGCGGGGGAUAACUAUUGGAAACGAUAGCUAAUACCGCAUAAGAGUAGAUGUUGCAUGACAUUUGCUUAAAAGGUGCACUUGCAUCACUACCAGAUGGACCUGCGUUGUAUUAGCUAGUUGGUGGGGUAAGGGCUCACCAAGGCGACGAUACAUAGCCGACCUGAGAGGGUGAUCGGCCACACUGGGACUGAGACACGGCCCAGACUCCUACGGGAGGCAGCAGUAGGGAAUCUUCGGCAAUGGACGGAAGUCUGACCGAGCAACGCCGCGUGAGUGAAGAAGGUUUUCGGAUCGUAAAGCUCUGUUGUAAGAGAAGAACGAGUGUGAGAGUGGAAAGUUCACACUGUGACGGUAUCUUACCAGAAAGGGACGGCUAACUACGUGCCAGCAGCCGCGGUAAUACGUAGGUCCCGAGCGUUGUCCGGAUUUAUUGGGCGUAAAGCGAGCGCAGGCGGUUAGAUAAGUCUGAAGUUAAAGGCUGUGGCUUAACCAUAGUAGGCUUUGGAAACUGUUUAACUUGAGUGCAAGAGGGGAGAGUGGAAUUCCAUGUGUAGCGGUGAAAUGCGUAGAUAUAUGGAGGAACACCGGUGGCGAAAGCGGCUCUCUGGCUUGUAACUGACGCUGAGGCUCGAAAGCGUGGGGAGCAAACAGGAUUAGAUACCCUGGUAGUCCACGCUGUAAACGAUGAGUGCUAGGUGUUAGACCCUUUCCGGGGUUUAGUGCCGUAGCUAACGCAUUAAGCACUCCGCCUGGGGAGUACGANUAUCUAAACUAUUUCUUAUUUCAAUUUGAUGAUUUGGCGAUGAUUUUAGAGCACGGCAAAAAGCCCUUGAAAAAGUCCAUUUUUUCAAAGGUAAUCCUGUGUUAAUUUCAGAAAUUACAUCACUUUUUGUUCGUCAAAUGGCAGCUCUUUUUUAGGAUAUAAAACAGGGUUCGGAUAAGUUUUUUUGCAAGGUGGAUGAUGGCUACAUUGUAAUGUUUUCCUUAUUCUAACUUAGUCUUAAGAUAGGCCUUAAAAGCAGGUGAAAAGCGAGCGCAUGCUUUGGCAGCUUGUAUGAGUGCCCACCGCAGAUGAGGGGAACCCCGUUUGAUCAUUCUUCCAGCUAAAUCAAUCUGACCUGACUGAUAAAUAGAAGAAUCCAGUCCAGCGAAAGCUUGUAAUUGAGCAGGAUUAUCAAAGGCAUGAAUAUUUCGAAUCUCGGCUAAAAUGACCGCCCCUAAACGACCCCCAAUCCCAGUAACCGUCGUGAUGACCGAGUUGAACUCAGCCAUCAAGUCAUUGACACAUGUUUCCGCCUUGUCAAUGAGCCUCUUGUAAUGUUUGAUGAUUUCGAUGAUUUCGAAUUCACGAGCAGGAGAUGUUGUUCCGAUAGAACGAGGU